AGCCUUAAGUAUAUAUUUUAGGUAAACCUGCCCAGUGUAAUAUAUUAACGGCCGCAGUACCUUGACUGUGCUAAGGUAGCAUAAUCAGUUGGCUUUUAAAUGGAGUCGGGAAUGAAUGGAUUAAUAGGGUUAAGCUGUCUCUUCUGUAAUUUGUUGAAUUUAUUUAUUAGGUGAAAAUACCUAUAAUAAGAAAAAAGACGAGAAGACCCUAGGAGUUUUUACUAAGCACUAUUUUUUUUUUAGUGAUCGUUUUUGUUGGGGCGACAUAGGAGUAAGGGAACCUCCUUUUAGUAUUUGUCGACUUUUGUAGGUAUAAUUAAACUACCCUAGGGAUAACAGCGUAAUUUUUUUUAAGCUUGCGACCUCGAUGUUGGACUAGGAAUUUGGUAGGCUAGUCGCCUACUUAUAUUGUUCUGUUCGAACUUAUUUCCUACAU
RNAcentral lists this ribosomal RNA (436 nucleotides) under Elysia cf. papillosa ALB-2006. RNAcentral's name for it is "partial 16S ribosomal RNA". It matches the Rfam family "Bacterial large subunit ribosomal RNA", at positions 1829 to 2601 of the family's 2925-position model. The record is from RNAcentral. Lineage: Eukaryota; Metazoa; Mollusca; Gastropoda; Plakobranchidae.